CUGUUUUGUUUUGAUCGACAUCGACAAGGUGAUUCUAGGGUUUGGAUUUUGGCUCGAUAGUUUUAUAUGUUAAAGCUAUUGACUUGUUUGGUUUCAAAAUUUUAAAAAUCACUUUCUACUGCAUGGCCAGAACCCAACACUUUUGAGGUUGAAGAUAAGUCAAUGGAGAUUGCUGGAUGUUGUAAGAAAAUCAGAGAAAAUAAUUUUUCUCUGAUCUUAACUCUCUCUACCAAAAACCCUAACACUUAGGGCUAGUCCACUCACCAAAGAAGAGAUGAUUCUCUUCUAAUCUCUCAUGCCAAAGGAUGGCUACCCACCCC
This 320-nucleotide long non-coding RNA is filed under the name Elaeis guineensis (African oil palm). RNAcentral describes it as "long non-coding RNA (EGUI_LNC072553)". Lineage: Eukaryota; Viridiplantae; Streptophyta; Magnoliopsida; Arecales; Arecaceae. The record is from RNAcentral.